CACAAGGAGAUCAGCUGUCUCAAGCUCCCACCAGAGCUAGACAAGCUCUCGACACCACGUCUUCUCCGCUGUGAUGGACACCACCACAAAUGGGGAGCCAAACGUUCCCUUCUUCAGGUUGCUCUGCUGAAGCAUUUUGUUGUAACAAGAAAAGAAACUAAUGAGAAGAAUCCUGUUGCCGCGCGUUGUUCUUACUGGCGGGACAUUAGGCGCGCGACAAGUGGUGCCGAAACCCGGUAACCAACAUCGCCGGUGCCGAGGGGACCCUUCAGUGUGAUGAAGAGGAUUCAGAACUGCGAGAAGGUAAAUUAAAAGAAUCAAGAAAAUCCAAUUUGGGUACCUGAGCAUUUGACUCGAAAAUUGCCUUCUGCUCUUCCUGAAGAUGAGACUACGAACCCUACUAUUACUACUGGGAAUGGUAAUAUGGGUUAACUCGCUCACCCUGUGGGCUAUUGCCAGAUCCUGGCCAGUACCCAUGCCAGUUCAUAGCAAUUCUAUUGUUUUGAGAAUAAGACUGGCAAGCAUAAUCUCUGGCCUUGGUUUCAGUGGGUGCUGUCCAAUGAGCAAGGGUUAUAUACAUCCCUGACCCCCUUUGCUAGGUUGAUGGGAGAGAACUUCGUGCUGUAUAAUGUUUCAGCUACCAGAAAAAAUGACACCAGGUUGAUCAAUAUUCAAUAUAAUAACCUCUUGGUAAAUAAUACUGCCACUAGUACUUCAGUAUGUGCUAGAUCACUUUUUUUCUGAUAAGCACUAAUGUAAGCAGUGGUGCUUUAA
RNAcentral lists this long non-coding RNA (774 nucleotides) under Rattus norvegicus (Norway rat). RNAcentral's name for it is "long non-coding RNA NONRATT005788". Lineage: Eukaryota; Metazoa; Chordata; Mammalia; Rodentia; Muridae. The record is from RNAcentral.